CUGCUGCCUUCCGUAGGAGUCUGGGCCGUGUCUCAGUCCCAGUGUGGCUGGUCGUCCUCUCAGACCAGCUACUGAUCGUUGCUUUGGUGAGCCGUUACCUCACCAACCGGCUAAUCAGUCAUCGGCCGCUCCGCUCGCGAGAGGCCCUUGCGGGUCCCCCUCUUUCUUCCGUAGAACUCAUGCGGUAUUAGCCAACCUUUCGGCUGGUUGUCCCCCCACGAGCGGACACGUUCCGAUGUAUUACUCACCCGUUCG
This 255-nucleotide ribosomal RNA is filed under the name uncultured bacterium. RNAcentral describes it as "partial 16S ribosomal RNA". The record is from RNAcentral.